GCGCACCCAUAUUGUCCCUCCAAAAGCACUGGUUGUUUAAAGUAAUUCAAGUCUAUGUGCAUGGAGAAGUACACGAAAAAUCCGCACCUGCUAGUGCCACUCUCAAUACUUCUCCUUGUUUGCUUUGUUGUUCAUGUUCAAUGUGGGAGAAUUGAAGACAUAGGAAACCGGAAGAUCAAGCUACCACAUGGAUUGUGUGCACCACGUAAACAAAUUGGAAAAUGCAAGAACUAUUGUUGGUGUUGUUUAGUGAGUCCAACCCCCUUCACAAACAUUUGCUAUGAGACGCCUGAAGAUUGUGAUGAGUAUUGCCGAGUUUGAGUUACAUGUUGAGACUCUCGAAUUAAUCAAAAAUAAAUAAAGUAAUUAAUCUUUGCGGCA
Long non-coding RNA from Aegilops tauschii subsp. strangulata, 381 nucleotides. RefSeq lists it as uncharacterized. The record is from RefSeq and is a predicted model, not a curated record. Lineage: Eukaryota; Viridiplantae; Streptophyta; Magnoliopsida; Poales; Poaceae.